This is a long non-coding RNA of Hippocampus comes (tiger tail seahorse), 559 nucleotides long. RefSeq lists it as uncharacterized. The transcript has 3 exons. The record is from RefSeq and is a predicted model, not a curated record. NCBI's taxonomy places the organism in Eukaryota, Metazoa, Chordata, Actinopteri, Syngnathiformes, Syngnathidae.
CCAAACAUGAUAGGCAUGCAGGAAUGUAUGGAUAAAAAUGCAAUGAAAAAAAGUAUAAUUACAGAGUCAUAUACCAGUUUGACAUUUACAUUUUUCAGGUAAUAAUGUUGUCACUCGGGGUUCCCACACGUACCCAUUCACCUUUCAAAUCCCCCAAGUAAACCUGCCGUCGUCAUUCAAGGGCUCAUAUGGAAAAAUCAAGUACACUUUGGAGGCAAAUCUGAGCAGGUCGAUGAGAACUGACUGCAAAGCCAAAACUCAUUUCCGUGUCAUUAAUAAAAGACACAGUGACGCGUUUUUGACGUCUCCACAGCAAGGCAUCACUGAGAAGAAAAUGAACUUCUUCUCUUCAGGAACAGUUCAAAUGGAAGUAAAUAUCGAGAAAACUGGCUUCUUUCAAGGUAAGAUGUUGUCUUUCAGGGUGCAUUCAGAAAUUCACUCUGACGCCAGAACACAACUCUGAGAGUGGGGUCUUUUUUGGGGGCACUCUGAAAAACCAAAUGGCAUAUUUGAACAACGCUCUGAGUAUUCCAAAUGUCGCAGUGAAGCAGAACAUGCU